UCCUUGGCAGUCCAGCAGUUAAGACGCCACACUUUCAAUGUAGUGGGCUCGGGUUCAAGCCCUGUUCAUGGAA
This 73-nucleotide transfer RNA is filed under the name Bos taurus (domestic cattle). It matches the Rfam family "tRNA". From Rfam's summary of the family: Transfer RNA (tRNA) molecules are approximately 80 nucleotides in length. Their secondary structure includes four short double-helical elements and three loops (D, anti-codon, and T loops). Further hydrogen bonds mediate the characteristic L-shaped molecular structure. tRNAs have two regions of fundamental functional importance: the anti-codon, which is responsible for specific mRNA codon recognition, and the 3' end, to which the tRNAs corresponding amino acid is attached (by aminoacyl-tRNA synthetases). tRNAs cope with the degeneracy of the genetic code in two manners: having more than one tRNA (with a specific anti-codon) for a particular amino acid; and 'wobble' base-pairing, i.e. permitting non-standard base-pairing at the 3rd anti-codon position. The record is from Rfam by way of RNAcentral. RNAcentral also lists the same sequence under 3 other names. Lineage: Eukaryota; Metazoa; Chordata; Mammalia; Artiodactyla; Bovidae.